This is a long non-coding RNA of Ailuropoda melanoleuca (giant panda), 436 nucleotides long. RefSeq lists it as uncharacterized. The record is from RefSeq and is a predicted model, not a curated record. The transcript is spliced from 3 exons. NCBI's taxonomy places the organism in Eukaryota, Metazoa, Chordata, Mammalia, Carnivora, Ursidae.
AAGGUGGCCAGGACUCCCGGAGACCUCCGCCUGGCGACUCCCCUCCAAUUCCCUUCAGAACGCCCACUCAGUGACCUGGUCUUAAAAGAAAAUUUAUUUUUGGCAAGCUAGUUCAUUUCUCAACUUUUUUUCAUUUAUAAGGUCUGUUCCAGGAAAGCAACUGAAGACUUAGAAUGCGCUGACCCCUGCUGACCUUGUGAAAACGAACUCUAUUCUCCAUUUAAGUGAUGAUGGUAUAAAAAGUAGGUGGAGCUGCUGACCGUUCCCUAUACAUGCCUAACCUGGUUGAAAUCUUUCCCAUCCUUCAAGGCUGGGAUGGGAACCACCUCCUCCAGGAAACCUCCCUUGAUUCAGAAGACCUGCCCAGGUCUCUUUGUCCUCCUCACAUACUAUUUUGUAUUCUUUUAGAAUAACAGUAACCAGUGCUUUUUAAACA